Molecule: long non-coding RNA, 210 nt
Filed under: Elaeis guineensis (African oil palm)
Lineage: Eukaryota; Viridiplantae; Streptophyta; Magnoliopsida; Arecales; Arecaceae
Description: long non-coding RNA (EGUI_LNC019948)
Source: RNAcentral
UCAUAAGAACCCCUUGGUAGAUGCUUCUUUCAAAUUUCAAAAUUUAAAAUUACCUUCUUCCUACUGUUAAUUUUCUUAUAAGAACCUUUAUAAUAUUUAGCCAUAUUCACUUCUCUCCAAUUUCACUUUAUUCUCUUGAAAUAUUGCCAAGCCUUCAAGGCUAGUUCAAAGGUCCAUCAUAUCAUUCUUGAUUAUUUCAUACUUAAGAUC